This 427-nucleotide ribosomal RNA is filed under the name uncultured bacterium. Its description in RNAcentral is "partial 16S ribosomal RNA". It matches the Rfam family "Bacterial small subunit ribosomal RNA", at positions 354 to 796 of the family's 1533-position model. The record is from RNAcentral.
GUGGGGAAUAUUGCACAAUGGGCGAAAGCCUGAUGCAGCAACGCCGCGUGAAGGAUGAAGGCCUUUGGGUCGUAAACUUCUGUCCUUGGGGAAGAAAAAAAUGACGGUACCCCUGGAGGAAGUCCCGGCUAACUACGUGCCAGCAGCCGCGGUAAUACGUAGGGGGCGAGCGUUAUCCGGAAUUAUUGGGCGUAAAGAGUACGUAGGUGGUUUUUUAAGCGCAGGGUUUAAGGCGAUGGCUCAACUGUCGUUCGCCCUGUGAACUGGAAGACUUGAGUACAGGAGAGGAAAGCGGAAUUCCUAGUGUAGCGGUGAAAUGCAUAGAUAUUAGGAGGAACACCAGUGGCGAAGGCGGCUUUCUGGACUGUAACUGACACUGAGGUACGAAAGCGUGGGGAGCAAACAGGAUUAGAUACCCUAGUAGUCC